UACGAAUCAUGAUUAAAAGAAACCGGCCCGAUAGAGGAUACGACUGUUGCCCUAAUGUGUUGAUAAGAAACCAACGUCCACCACCUCCCCUCUCCGACGACGAUUCUGUGACCCUCCAUAUGUUCUUCUCCCAUAAGGCCAUAACGGCCCGAGUAAAUGGUUUGGCUUCAAUCCCCACUACGUCGCCUUCAAUUGUCUUCUUCGAUGUGAGAGUCGGCGAUGUUUCAGUAUAAAAAGAAUACCAUGAUGCAAGCGAGCAUCAGUGCUAACCGGCUCUCCAGGUUCCAGUCUAAGCUCGCCGCCGGUUUCGACGUGUCACAGUGUGCUCUGAGAGUUCGCAUCUGUAAAUGGUGUUGGCGAUAAGCAUGAGGAGCUUUGGUCGCAGCUUCAGAAAUAACAACUACGGAUGGUUCGUGGCGAGGUCAUCACACAGUGGUUCGUGGCGAGGUGAGGUGAGAAGGGAGACUGAGCCUGUGGUGGGAAGAUGACGCAGAGGAAGAUAAGAGGAGUCGCCGGAGACAUGUUUAAGGUCUCCUUCACUAUGCAGGCUCUCCCUUCAUCAGAUAUCGAAGUAGAUUACUGCCAUCAGCACUAUCAUAAGUGCUCUGACGAGGUAAACCAGUGUGUUCCUUUGCCAAGUUGAAAUGUAUCAAGGCUUCUUAGAUGGUCUUAGACAAGCUCUUGCUGAAGUAGAGCACCACUAUGCAACCCAUGGACCUCUGAUUCUUCGUCUUAAAAUAAACCACUUCUGCAAAACUACUGUUCAAUCGUUUAUCAACUAAAAUAUCUAAUUUUUUCUAGAGAUUGAGUCCGUGUUACCGAGAUGGUGGUUGAAGAAUAAGAUGACUCCAUAAUUUUCAGCUAUAUCUAUGACUAUUAAUCAAUGAAUUUUUAUUUAAAUUA
Molecule: long non-coding RNA, 903 nt
Organism: Raphanus sativus (radish)
Lineage: Eukaryota; Viridiplantae; Streptophyta; Magnoliopsida; Brassicales; Brassicaceae
Exons: 2
Source: RefSeq, a predicted model, not a curated record